CACACACACAUACUCCGAGAAGUUACGGCCCUCAGAUAAUGACCCCCAGAUCCAAGCUUUGGAGAGAGGACUCGACCAGCCCCCGACCCAGUAGGCUGCAGCGGAGCCUCGGAGCCGUAACCAAAACAAAGGAGCUCGGCUCAUGCCCGGCGACUCCCGGUCACAGAAGCAUCCACACCCUGCGCUCCGCUGGGUGGCCACCAAACCCGAUCCCAGAACCUGGUCUGCAGAACAAGGGGUGUAGAACUGUGGCCUCUAGGUCCCCCUAGAUUUUAUCACAGCCAUCGGACACUUCCAAAAAAGGGUUUAACGUCGGUCAGGGAGCUGUGGUUGAAAGACGGUUUCUUAAACGUGAUAGGAAGCAAGGGGAAAAGGAGACAGGCAAAGCUAAAGAGGGAGAUCCGGCAGUUUUCACUUGGGCAUCCAAAAUUCGAAGUAAACAUCCAAGAAAGGUCACCGCAGCCCGAAAUCUACCACCCAAGCAGCUUCAGAAGCGCGGGAGCCAGGGAGCCCGGCCACGCGAAGGACCCUGGGGAUGUAGUCCCCAGGUGGACCCUUUCCGCAAAUCCGCAGAACUAGGCAACACUCGGGAACUACAACUCCCAGAAGGGAGCGCGGCUCCGCGACGCCCACAGUCCCGCAUCGAAAGAACUGGUACAGAACUGCACACCUAAACCCAGGCUUCUUCUCUCCACCAGGACCUACAUGGCUCCCCUAUACGUGGCUUAUAGUACCAGUAAUGUAUGUCCUUGUACAUGUCAAGGAGUUAGUGAUUUCUUUGGAAUCUUCCAGCACAAAAGUAACAUCUAAGGAGCGAGGUCAUCAUGAACAUUUUCUAAGACCACUGACUCCAGACACCUUGACACCAGGACCACUGGCUCCAAGGCAUAAACGACUCAUGAAGGACACCUGAGCACUUGCCCUUGUUUUGACCAGUUCCUGGAUGCCUGACAGAACAUGUACACCAGACCAACAUCCUCAGUAAAAACUCCAGACCCCAAGCAAAGAUGAGACUCAUUCCCCUUUUCCUUUCUGAGUCUCCUAGAUGCUCGGUCUGUAUCUGCCCUCUCUAGAUCUUCAAUAAAUGCUACUUUCACUUCC
Long non-coding RNA from Panthera uncia (snow leopard), 1101 nucleotides. RefSeq lists it as uncharacterized. NCBI's taxonomy places the organism in Eukaryota, Metazoa, Chordata, Mammalia, Carnivora, Felidae. The record is from RefSeq and is a predicted model, not a curated record. The transcript is spliced from 2 exons.